Molecule: long non-coding RNA, 798 nt
Filed under: Equus caballus (horse)
Lineage: Eukaryota; Metazoa; Chordata; Mammalia; Perissodactyla; Equidae
Description: lncRNA (ENSECAG00000051146.1)
Source: RNAcentral
GCUAACAGCUCUGGACGAGGGAGCUUGGAGACUUGCGUUUGAAUUCUUGCUCUUCUGCCCACUCGCUUCCCUUCUCUGGGUCUUAGCUUCCCUCUAUGCUACCCAUCCUCCAGCUGCCAAAAAGGAGGGGCUCCGGCCGGUUAUCUGAUGAUUCCUCCAGCUGUGGCAGCUUGUUCUCCCAAAAUGUGCUUCAGCUUCCUGACAAGGACUCCUUCCCUUCAGGAGCCAAAAAGAAGAGAACAGGACCCUCUCUUCCCGCCCAGGAGCGUAAGGAGCGGGGCCUCUCCAGCCACCAGUGGGGGCCACGUCUGACUUCAGCCCCCCGGGAAAACGCUCGCUGACUCUGCCCGGAGCGCCAGCUGCCCCGCGGUCCCCUCUGAAGCCAGUCACGCACCUGCCUCGCUUCAGGUGCUAAUCCAUCAGCUGGGUUUCCUGGGGAAACAGAACUCAUUCUUAAGCUCCCUUUUAUGGCUUUUACCCAGAAUUGAUUUGAAUAAAUCAGUCUAAUGCUCUCUCUACAAUGGAACCAAUUGUGGAAGAGCUUUAUUUGCUCAGCUCUCAAAGCUGGCUGGAGCUGCCUUCUUCCCAUCCCAGGGCUGAUGGAGGAAAAGGAAACACGCAUGGUGAAUCUGACAAAGGAGGAUUGCUCGAAAGGAACCAGUGUUUGUGAGCAGCCCGGUAUAUACACGUGUGUUUUGGAGUAAACAGCCAAGCCAGUAGCCAAGUGGUGGCAUUGUUGUGGACCUGUGAGCAUCCAAUCCCCUUCUUCCGGACAAGCUUGAUCCAGGAGGACACAAG